ACUUUAUUUAACUAAAGUUGCCUCAUAAUUAAACAAUCGUGGACCGAAACGAGCAGAAAAGACUCUCCUAAGAGCUUCAGCCAAACUUCAAAUAUCAAUGUUUAUCAAGUUGUAAGUCCUCCGUGGGUUCGACUCACCGCGUUCAGUCCACGAUGGAAACACGCAGUAAGUGUGGGAUCUUUGGCUGGAGCUGAUCCGAUGAUGAUGAUGACAAAUAUGUCUGAGAAUCCAGCGCUGUGUGAUUAACGCAAACUUGACGCCACACUGCUUCUCUCACAGGAAAGAACCACAGAAACCGGGACACGGCGCUGUCGACGCAGACUCUGGUUUUCUGUGUGUUUUCUCCGCUUUGGGAGAGGAAAACCAGCUGACAGCGCAGUCGAUAAUCCUUCCCUGGUCCAACGUGUCAAGCUCUCGGUGGUACGGGAGCGGCUGGUUCGGUUAAAGUCGGCAGCCCGACCAGAACAAGUCAGAUACAACAAGCUAAAGCAGACGGUAAACUUACCGAGGGCUAAACUUACCAGCUUCCUUUACAUCCUGCUCGAUCCUGUGGCUUAUUGUCUCACGCGGCGGUGUUAAAUCCGACGACGACACGGCGAAACGACUGAAGAACGCGUAAAAGACAACUGCUGAUUAUAAACAGUCAUGAUACCCCUCCGGUGUACCGCUGAGUGGUCGGCACAAGCCCCAGGAAAUACGUCAGGAUCAUGGACGAAGCGGAGAACAGCGGCUCCUCACGGAACAGCAGCGCUGCUGCAGCUCCACCUGCUGGCCACGAGGGGAGCUGCGGCAUGGAUGUGUCGCUCGAAAACGAGCAGGCCCUCUCUGCCGGUUCAAAUGAGAUGGGAUCUGACUCCCACGCCUAACUUUUUCUUCUUCUUUUUAUCUAGUUGGUGAUAUUUUAUCCAGGCCUACCUACAAUUAAACGAAAUCAAAAGAA
Molecule: long non-coding RNA, 940 nt
Organism: Cyprinodon tularosa
Lineage: Eukaryota; Metazoa; Chordata; Actinopteri; Cyprinodontiformes; Cyprinodontidae
Exons: 2
Source: RefSeq, a predicted model, not a curated record